AUUGAAAGAAAGAUAAGCACCAUUCCAAAGGCAUAAGACAACCUUCCCCUCCAAAUGACAUAAGAAGAAAUAGAACAGAAAACCAAAGAUUUCACAGGAUCAUCCCAAUAUGCCAAGGAAAGAAGCCCCUUUCCAACUUCAAUGACAGGGUGAAGCAGCUCCUUCAUUACUGCCAAAUUGGUGUCAAUGCCAUCUACUUUAACUCCAUCAACUGUUUCUUGUGCUAGCACCACCUUUUUAUAGCUGUUUCUAGAUUCCUUAACAGCUCUUUCCAAUGAACUCAUCUCUCCCACAGCUAUCUCACCCACAGCAAG
This 314-nucleotide unclassified non-coding RNA is filed under the name Hevea brasiliensis (rubber tree). The record is from RNAcentral. Lineage: Eukaryota; Viridiplantae; Streptophyta; Magnoliopsida; Malpighiales; Euphorbiaceae.